Molecule: non-coding RNA, 75 nt
Organism: Streptomyces violaceusniger Tu 4113
Lineage: Bacteria; Bacillati; Actinomycetota; Actinomycetes; Kitasatosporales; Streptomycetaceae
Source: Rfam
CUUGAGCGACCCCAGCCACAGGGGCCGGUCACCGGGCCGGUCCUGUCCGUAGGUGGCCAGCAGCGCGUGUGCUUC